Molecule: unclassified non-coding RNA, 333 nt
Filed under: soil metagenome
Description: partial contains 5.8S ribosomal RNA, internal transcribed spacer 2, and large subunit ribosomal RNA
Rfam family: 5.8S ribosomal RNA (bases 1-120)
Source: RNAcentral
GAUGAAGAACGCAGCGAAAUGCGAUAAGUAGUGUGAAUUGCAGAAUUCAGUGAAUCAUCGAAUCUUUGAACGCACAUUGCGCCCCUCGGUAUUCCGUGGGGCAUGCCUGUUCGAGCGUCAUUUACCCCUCAAGCACUGCUUGGUGUUGGGCGUCUGUCCCGCUUCGCGCGCGGACUCGCCCCAAAGGUAUUGGCAGCGGUCGUGCCAGCUUCUCGCGCAGCACAUUGCGCUUCUCGAGGCGGUCGAUCGGCGUCCACGAAGCUCACCUCCACCGUUUGACCUCGGAUCAGGUAGGGAUACCCGCUGAACUUAAGCAUAUCAAUGAGCGGAGGA